This 423-nucleotide ribosomal RNA is filed under the name Staphylococcus aureus. RNAcentral's name for it is "bacterial SSU rRNA". It matches the Rfam family "Bacterial small subunit ribosomal RNA", at positions 280 to 695 of the family's 1533-position model. Lineage: Bacteria; Bacillati; Bacillota; Bacilli; Caryophanales; Staphylococcaceae. The record is from RNAcentral.
UGCAUAGCCGACCUGAGAGGGUGAUCGGCCACACUGGAACUGAGACACGGUCCAGACUCCUACGGGAGGCAGCAGUAGGGAAUCUUCCGCAAUGGGCGAAAGCCUGACGGAGCAACGCCGCGUGAGUGAUGAAGGUCUUCGGAUCGUAAAACUCUGUUAUUAGGGAAGAACAUAUGUGUAAGUAACUGUGCACAUCUUGACGGUACCUAAUCAGAAAGCCACGGCUAACUACGUGCCAGCAGCCGCGGUAAUACGUAGGUGGCAAGCGUUAUCCGGAAUUAUUGGGCGUAAAGCGCGCGUAGGCGGUUUUUUAAGUCUGAUGUGAAAGCCCACGGCUCAACCGUGGAGGGUCAUUGGAAACUGGAAAACUUGAGUGCAGAAGAGGAAAGUGGAAUUCCAUGUGUAGCGGUGAAAUGCGCAGAG